GUCUAGAGGCUUCGGCAAUGGGGGAAACCCUGACCGAGCGACGCCGCGUGCGGGAUGAAGCCCUUCGGGGUGUAAACCGCUUUCGGCUGGGGAAAAGGCCUGGGAGGUGAUCCCAGGAUUGAUCGUCCCGGCAGAAGAAGCCCCGGCUAACUCCGUGCCAGCAGCCGCGGUAAUACGGAGGGGGCAAGCGUUAUUCGGAUUUAUUGGGCGUAAAGGGCGCGUAGGCGGCCCGGCAAGUCCGAUGUGAAAUCUCCACAGCUCACCUGGGAGAGGCCAUUGGAAACUGCCGGGCUUGAGGUCCGGAGAGGCCGGCGGAAUUCCCGGUGUAGCGGUGGAAUGCGUAGAUAUCGGGAAGAACACCAGUGGCGAAGGCGGCUGGCUGGACGGCACCUGACGCUGAGGCGCGAAAGUGCGGGGAGCAAACGGGAUUAGAAACCCCAGUAGUCC
RNAcentral lists this ribosomal RNA (447 nucleotides) under uncultured bacterium. RNAcentral describes it as "bacterial SSU rRNA". It matches the Rfam family "Bacterial small subunit ribosomal RNA", at positions 354 to 796 of the family's 1533-position model. The record is from RNAcentral.